GUCUAUGGCCACGCCACCCUGAACAGGCCCGAUGUCUGAUCUCGGAAGCUAAGCAGGGUCGGCCUGGUUAGUACUUGGAUGGGAGACCAUCCAGCGCCGGGCUGUGCUGUAGACG
This 115-nucleotide ribosomal RNA is filed under the name Pteropus alecto (black flying fox). Lineage: Eukaryota; Metazoa; Chordata; Mammalia; Chiroptera; Pteropodidae. The record is from RNAcentral.